GCGCCCAUAGCUCAGCAGGAUAGAGCGUCGGUUUCCUAAACCGCAGGUCAGGGGUUCGAAUCCCUUUGGGCGCACCA
RNAcentral lists this transfer RNA (77 nucleotides) under Clostridiaceae bacterium. Its description in RNAcentral is "tRNA-Arg". It matches the Rfam family "tRNA". Rfam says of the family: Transfer RNA (tRNA) molecules are approximately 80 nucleotides in length. Their secondary structure includes four short double-helical elements and three loops (D, anti-codon, and T loops). Further hydrogen bonds mediate the characteristic L-shaped molecular structure. tRNAs have two regions of fundamental functional importance: the anti-codon, which is responsible for specific mRNA codon recognition, and the 3' end, to which the tRNAs corresponding amino acid is attached (by aminoacyl-tRNA synthetases). tRNAs cope with the degeneracy of the genetic code in two manners: having more than one tRNA (with a specific anti-codon) for a particular amino acid; and 'wobble' base-pairing, i.e. permitting non-standard base-pairing at the 3rd anti-codon position. Lineage: Bacteria; Bacillati; Bacillota; Clostridia; Eubacteriales; Clostridiaceae. The record is from RNAcentral.